RNAcentral lists this long non-coding RNA (218 nucleotides) under Homo sapiens (human). Its description in RNAcentral is "HSALNT0072880". The record is from RNAcentral. Lineage: Eukaryota; Metazoa; Chordata; Mammalia; Primates; Hominidae.
AGGCAUGUUUGGGGAACAUAGGAGAGUUUUGGCUGGGGAGAUUACAACUCAUAUUUUAAAGGAAUCAUCUGAUUGCGUUAUGAUGGAAUAACUGGAAUUAGACUUGCCCUUCUGAAGUAAACAACUAGAAAGCUGUACAACAGUCAUAAGUCAACUGUUUUCAAGCAUUGGAUAAAACAACACUGUGGUCUUUGCGGGAAGAAAAACACAUGAGGUAG